UGAUCGAACGACUGGAUUUGAUCAUAUCAUGCGACUCAAAUUAAUUCUCAAAAUAAAAGAGAUCCAACAGCUGAGGAUAGGCCACGUCGCCUCGAACGGACGACCCAGAUUUAAUGAAAAUGAGUAUUUAAACUCUAAUCGACAGAAGGGUGAUUAGAGAAGAAGAAGAGAGGCGGUCAGAAAGUGAACCAGACACUAGAGAAUGAGACUAGCCACUAUCGCCGCCACACCAGAUCCACUACUGACGCCAAAAAGGUAAGAUUUUUUCUCUUUUCGCUCGAAAUUGAAUCUUGAACCUUCCCAUGCCCAUAUUGGAGUCAAAAGAUUGAUGGGUGAGCUGAAAAACGCGAGCAGAGCUCUACCGAGUUGCCACGGUCAAAACCCAAAACCUCCUCUGAUGAGACCCUUCCUGUUUCCUAUUUUC
RNAcentral lists this long non-coding RNA (424 nucleotides) under Carica papaya (papaya). RNAcentral describes it as "long non-coding RNA (CPAP_LNC010857)". Lineage: Eukaryota; Viridiplantae; Streptophyta; Magnoliopsida; Brassicales; Caricaceae. The record is from RNAcentral.